GAUGAACGCUGGCGGCGUGCCUAAUACAUGCAAGUCGAGCGAACGGACGAGAAGCUUGCUUUUCUGAUGUUAGCGGCGGACGGGUGAGUAACACGUGGAUAACCUACCUAUAAGACUGGGAUAACUUCGGGAAACCGGAGCUAAUACCGGAUAAUAUUUUGAACCGCAUGGUUCAAAAGUGAAAGACGGUCUUGCUGUCACUUAUAGAUGGAUCCGCGCUGCAUUAGCUAGUUGGUAAGGUAACGGCUUACCAAGGCAACGAUGCAUAGCCGACCUGAGAGGGUGAUCGGCCACACUGGAACUGAGACACGGUCCAGACUCCUACGGGAGGCAGCAGUAGGGAAUCUUCCGCAAUGGGCGAAAGCCUGACGGAGCAACGCCGCGUGAGUGAUGAAGGUCUUCGGAUCGUAAAACUCUGUUAUUAGGGAAGAACAUAUGUGUAAGUAACUGUGCACAUCUUGACGGUAGCUAAUCAGAAAGCCACGGCUAACUACGUG
RNAcentral lists this ribosomal RNA (497 nucleotides) under uncultured bacterium. RNAcentral's name for it is "partial 16S ribosomal RNA". It matches the Rfam family "Bacterial small subunit ribosomal RNA", at positions 28 to 507 of the family's 1533-position model. The record is from RNAcentral.